UACGAAGGGGGCUAGCGUUGUUCGGAAUCACUGGGCGUAAAGCGCACGUAGGCGGAUCAAUAAGUCAGGGGUGAAAUCCCGAGGCUCAACCUCGGAACUGCCUUUGAUACUGUUGACCUUGAGUCCGGGAGAGGUGAGUGGAACUCCGAGUGUAGAGGUGAAAUUCGUAGAUAUUCGGAAGAACACCAGUGGCGAAGGCGGCUCACUGGCCCGGUACUGACGCUGAGGUGCGAAAGCGUGGGGAGCAAAC
This 250-nucleotide ribosomal RNA is filed under the name uncultured bacterium. RNAcentral describes it as "partial 16S ribosomal RNA". It matches the Rfam family "Bacterial small subunit ribosomal RNA", at positions 524 to 773 of the family's 1533-position model. The record is from RNAcentral.